RNAcentral lists this ribosomal RNA (256 nucleotides) under uncultured prokaryote. Its description in RNAcentral is "partial 16S ribosomal RNA". It matches the Rfam family "Bacterial small subunit ribosomal RNA", at positions 525 to 777 of the family's 1533-position model. The record is from RNAcentral.
ACAGGGAGGGCGAGCAUUAUUCAUCGUUACUGGGCGUAAAGCGUGUUGAGGCGGCUUGUUCAAUUGGAUAUGAAAGUCUAGAGCUAAACUGUAGAAUAAUAUCACGAAAUUGACACAGCUAUCGAAUUGGGUUUAGGUGGGAGGAAUUUUUGGUGUAGGAUUCAACUCUGACAUAUUGAAAGGAACUCCUGUAGGCGAUAGCAUCUUUCCGAACCCAAUUGACGCUGUCGCACUAAAGUGUGGGGAGCAAACAGGA